AGUGAACGCUGGCGGUAGGCCUAACACAUGCAAGUCGAACGGCAGCACAGGAGAGCUUGCUCUCUGGGUGGCGAGUGGCGGACGGGUGAGGAAUACAUCGGAAUCUACUUUUUCGUGGGGGAUAACGUAGGGAAACUUACGCUAAUACCGCAUACGACCUACGGGUGAAAGCAGGGGACCUUCGGGCCUUGCGCGAUUGAAUGAGCCGAUGUCGGAUUAGCGAGUUGGCGGGGUAAAGGCCCACCAAGGCGACGAUCCGUAGCUGGUCUGAGGGGAUGAUCAGCCACACUGGAACUGAGACACGGGCCAGACUCCUACGGGAGGCAGCAGUGGGGAAUAUUGGACAAUGGGCGCAAGCCUGAUCCAGCCAUACCGCGUGGGUGAAGAAGGCCUUCGGGUUGUAAAGCCCUUUUGUUGGGAAAGAAAUCCAGCUGGCUAAUACCCGGUUGGGAUGACGGUACCCAAAGAAUAAGCACCGGCUAACUUCGUGCCAGCCGCCGCAGUAA
This 506-nucleotide ribosomal RNA is filed under the name uncultured bacterium. RNAcentral's name for it is "partial 16S ribosomal RNA". It matches the Rfam family "Bacterial small subunit ribosomal RNA", at positions 29 to 523 of the family's 1533-position model. The record is from RNAcentral.